Molecule: unclassified non-coding RNA, 4227 nt
Organism: Vespa mandarinia (Asian giant hornet)
Lineage: Eukaryota; Metazoa; Arthropoda; Insecta; Hymenoptera; Vespidae
Source: RefSeq, a predicted model, not a curated record
AUGGACAACCCUAGCGGCGGAAGGGACGGUCGUUACGCGAGUCUCGGCUACGGCAUGGGGAUGAUCGGUAGCGACGGUGCCACGGAAAUGUACGGGCGACCGUCCACCUCCCAACUCGGUGCUGCUGCUGCUGCCGCCGCCGCCGCAGCCGCUGCUGCUUCUCAGUUGGGCCAACGUGGUGGCGCCACCAUGAUGCCCGGGGGCGGCCCGACGCCCGGCGUCGCCACGGUCCAGAGUAGAGGCAUCAAGAGGACGACGUCGGAUGUUUGUUACACCGAUGACACUAACGCCAGGCAGCAGGCCCUUUCCCAACAGCAGCAGCAGCAGCAACAACAACAACAACAACAACAGCAGCAGCAGCAGCAACAGAGUAUGACGAUGUCAGAUUGUGUCGCCGAGAAUCUCGAUGAGUCCUUCACGAAUCUCGGACAGCCGAAGAAGUCGCCACCCUCUAAUGGAAAGAAGACCAAGGGUAGAGUCAAGAUUAAAAUGGAGUACAUCGAUAACAAGUUAAGGAGGUACACCACAUUUUCCAAGAGGAAGACCGGUAUCAUGAAGAAGGCGUACGAGCUGUCGACGUUGACCGGUACGCAAGUGAUGCUAUUGGUAGCGAGCGAGACCGGGCACGUUUAUACGUUUGCGACGCGCAAACUGCAGCCGAUGAUAACGAGCGAGGCCGGGAAAGCGUUGAUCCAGACGUGCCUGAAUAGUCCCGAUCCACCGCCUUCUGGUUCCUCGGGAGAUCAACGGAUGUCGGCGACCGGAUUCGAGGAGACCGAGUUAACCUACAACAUCGGCGACGAGGAGCAGAAAGAAGACGGUACGUCGCCUAGAUCGGACGUCUGCGCAAACGAGAGCGACGGUGAUACGAGCGACGGCGAUUCACCGGUUUCGAAGGAUCUCGCAAAGAAUCAUUCGGGUAAUAUACCUUCAUUCUCCGCUGGAAUCAUGUACCAGAUGCCACAAAGUGUCAUUUAUUCGCCUAGUCCGGGUGUUUUGCUCGGUAUCGGACAAAACGGUCAACCGGUACAAAUUUCACAAGACGGAGGUACGACAACAUCGGUUAAUUCAUCGCAAGGAAAUCAACCGUUCAUCACGAUACCGCUUAACGUGGCGAUGAGUGCCGCAGGUCUCUCAUUGCCGGUGUCAUCGAGAACGAGCUUGUCAUCUCCGUCACCGAGAUCACCAAUUUCAGGGUCAGCAUCUUCAGUUGCAUGCGAAUUGCCCUCCGACCUUACAAAGGACAGAGAGUGACAAAGGCGAAACGUAAACGAUGAUGCUAAUAUUCGAGUCUCGCUGUGUCGUAAACCAUCGGAAAAGUUUCCGAAGGAAUCUCGAUUCGAGUCUCGAAGACGGAAGGAAAAGAGAAUUCAUGAAGAAGAAAAAAAAGAAGAAGAAGAAGAAGGAUUAAGGGAAAACAAAGAACAGGAAGGUUCGAAGGAAAACGAAACGAAUGAAAUAUCUACAAGGAUUAUCAAGGAUCUUAAAAAUGGUGGCACGAUCAUGAAGGAACCGAGGAAGAAACGAAUAGCCGAGAAAAUUUAGACUAUACAAACGAGGCCCUGGCUGUUCUUCCUUCAAGUUUUUCGCGAUUAAAAAUGGACUAAACGUGACAAAAGAAUUUUAAAUUCUUUACGACGACGGUCAAUGGAGGGAUGAUUUUUUUCUGGAAAAAAAAAAAAAGAAAAAGAAAGAAAGUAAAUGCUAUAACACUCAUAUGGUUUUAUAACAAUUUGAUUUCUUUUCUUUUUUUUUUUUCUUCUUAAAUUUAUCAAUAUCCAAUCGGUCUUAUAACAAUCACAAUCCGAUUUAAUUCUCCAUCACUAUUUCCCUUCUCGACGAUCUUUACAAGUUCCUUAUUUAAUGUUAACCUUAGUUAUGAAAAGAUCGUCUUCGAAGAUUUAAAAAAUGUCGAUGAGCCGAGUGUAAGUAUUUUUCUAUAGAUCAGUUUUCUUUUUUCUAUUUAUUUUCUUUUUCUUUCUUUUUUUUUUCAACAAAUCACGAUAACAACAAAUACUUUCACACAUUAGGACAUCGCGAUUGCUUAAAAAGAAAAUAGCAAAAAUUGAACGUACGUAUGAUCGAUAAGCAAUUUGUUUGAAUAUUUACGAUCAUGCACGGUCUCCACAAAUUAUUAAUAAACAAUAAACAUGGUAAAAUACAAUGGUUAUUUUAGCGAUCGAUAUUAUCUAAAAAGUUUUAAUCCGUCAGAUGAAACGCAACUGACUCGAUCGAAUCCGAUACGUUCGUCGAUAGUGAUACGCUCGAAUUAACAAGAUAGAAGAAUGAUCAUGUCUUGGUGAGAUCAAUUAAUUAAGAUCAAUUGAGAAAGAUCGUGGAGUGUCAUAUAGAACACCUUGUUUAAAUUUCAUUAGCUCGACCGAUCGAGGAGAGAGGGCUCUUUUAUGCCCUAUACGACAGAUCCAACUCGUGACUCGAUAAAAAGUGCGUGAAAAUGGACGAUUCAUCGGUUUUAUGUUUCAGGACGUUCUGAAAAUUAUACUACAGGGUUACGGUAUAAUCGUUCAAACAACGUAUCGCCAAUUAUUCGAUUCCCGAAUACGCACUGCCAAUUACGAGACUGAUACUAUACAUGAUUUCUUAUUGAUGUUGCAACGAUCCUGCGAGAAGAAAGUUGGAUUUUUGUAAUUGGAUCACGAGGAUCGGAUGGAUGAUCCAAUUCAAAAAAUGUCUAUGUCGAAUAGAUCCUGAUCUCGAAUAGAAAGAAUUUUUGGUAUGAAUGAAUUAUUAGCAAACAGUGCGAAAAGAUAUAAGUAUAUUCCAUCAAAUAAGACAAUUUCAAAAUAUCUUUCUUCUCGAUCUUUCCUUGAUAUUAUUACGAAUAUCAAAAAUACGAAGAUCGAUGAAGUUACAUCUGACAAAUCCUAUACUAUUUCCUCGUCAACUAUCAAUUUAUAAAAUGAAAUUGUAAAUUCGUAUUCAUAUCUAAUUAUCCUCGUUUAAAAUCAACAUAACAUUUGAUAUAAUGCAAUUUAAAGUCGCCGAAAAGAGAAAGCAGAUUAUAUAUGUAUAUAUAUAUAUAUAUAUAUAUAUAUAUAUAAUACACACACAAUUUUAUAUUACUUUAUGUAGAAUCUUGUCACGAUCUAUCUCAAAUUCAUAAAUAAGAUAAUUCAUAAUAAUUCAUAAUAAUUCAUGGAACGAAAAGUUUUCGUUAAUUUUUUAUAAAGAUGAAUUCGAUCUAAUAUAUAAUACACAAAAAUGAGAUCUGACGUUGAAAUUUAGAUCGAAUCGAUUAAUAUAUAAAAUCGAUGAUAUUAAUAAUGAUUAAUAAUGGUACUUUCGUAUAAGACCUAUUAAUAAUAAUGAAGAAGUAGAGAUAUUAUUAGGAAGACCUUGAAGAAAUGGAAGUCGUUGGGUCUUGUACGAUCUUAAUGGUGAUAUAAUAUAUUUGGAUUAUUUCAGAUAAAAUAAUAACCAUAAGACAUCAUGGAGUAUCUUGAAUGGCCGAUUGAAAAAAAAAAACCUUGAACGACGUGAUUGUGUUAAAAUAAAUAACGAAGAUAUGAGCAUUUUUAUUGGACGCGUAUGUCGAAAUAAAUUUAACUUCUUUUUUUUAUUUCUUUUUUUAUUUUUUUUUUUUUUUUUUUUUUUUUCUUUUAUUCGUGACUUAGUCAUUUAACGACAUUAUUUUUAUUUUUAAUUUCUUUUUAUUACAUUUUGUAAUACGUAUCUUUAUGUAUGCAAGUUGAAAGAAAUCUCGUUAUUAGAAGCGGCUAGCAAUAGAUGUAUUUGGAUAUAAAAAAAAAAAAAAAAAAAAAAAAAGGAAGAAGAAGUAGAAAAAAAUAAUAUCUAUGUACGUGUGCCGUUCAAUACGAACUACUAGUCAAAACUAAAGGCUAGAUUUAGCCUAAUAACGUGCAAUAACGUUGUGAUUAUACGAAAUUUUAAUUGUACAUGUAAUGAUGGUGCAUUUUUGAUAGCGCCAAAACUUUGCAGAGAAAUAAAUGAAUAAAGAGCAUCGUUUUAUUAACUUUCGCGUAUGAAUUUUGUAAAUCAACGAACGAUAUCUAUGUUCGAUUAAAUGGGAAAAAGUAAAAAAAAAAAAAAAAAAGAAAAAAAAAAAAAAAAAAGAAGAAAGCAAAAAUAGAAAAAAAAGAAUUAAGAAUUCUUAUAAAAAAAUUUUUCGAUUUGCGUAAAGGCUUAUUUUUAUAAACUAAUGUGAAUAUAUUAUAAGGAAAUAAACGAUCGAAGAAUUGACGGUAA